UACGUAGGGCGCAAGCGUUAUCCGGAAUUAUUGGGCGUAAAGAGCUCGUAGGCGGUUUGUCGCGUCUGCCGUGAAAGUCCGGGGCUCAACCCCGGGCCUGCAGCCGAUACGGGCAGACUAGAGUUCGGCAGGGGAGACUGGAAUUCCUGGUGUAGCGGUGAAAUGCGCAGAUAUCAGGAGGAACACCGGUGGCGAAGGCGGGUCUCUGGGCCGAUACUGACGCUGAGGAGCGAAAGCGUGGGGAGCGAACAGG
Molecule: ribosomal RNA, 253 nt
Filed under: uncultured bacterium
Lineage: Bacteria
Description: partial 16S ribosomal RNA
Rfam family: Bacterial small subunit ribosomal RNA
Source: RNAcentral